CAGUGGGGAAUAUUGCACAAUGGGGGAAACCCUGAUGCAGUCCAUGCCGCGUGUGUGAAGAAGGCCUUCGGGUUGUAAAGCACUUUCAGUAGGGAGGAAGGUAGUGUAGUUAACACCUUGCAUUAUUUGACGUUACCUACAGAAGAAGCACCGGCUAACUCCGUGCCAGCAGCCGCGGUAAUACGGAGGGUGCGAGCGUUAAUCGGAAUUACUGGGCGUAAAGCGCAUGCAGGCGGCCUGUUAAGUCAGAUGUGAAAGCCCGGGGCUUAACCUCGGAAUUGCAUUUGAAACUGGCAGGCUAGAGUCUUGUAGAGGGGGUAGAAUUUCAGGUGUAGCGGUGAAAAUGCGUAGAGAUCUGAAGGAAUACCAGUGGCGAAGGCGGCCCCCUGGACAAAGACUGACGCUCAGAUGCGAAAGCGUGGGGAGCAAACAGGAUUAGAUACCCUGGUAG
Molecule: ribosomal RNA, 451 nt
Filed under: uncultured bacterium
Lineage: Bacteria
Description: bacterial SSU rRNA
Rfam family: Bacterial small subunit ribosomal RNA
Source: RNAcentral